RNAcentral lists this ribosomal RNA (449 nucleotides) under uncultured bacterium. Its description in RNAcentral is "bacterial SSU rRNA". It matches the Rfam family "Bacterial small subunit ribosomal RNA", at positions 29 to 523 of the family's 1533-position model. The record is from RNAcentral.
AACGAACGCUGGCGGCAGGCCUAACACAUGCAAGUCGAACGCCGUAGCAAUACGGAGUGGCAGACGGGUGAGUAACACGUGGGAACGUACCUUUCGGUUCGGAAUAACUCAGGGAAACUUGAGCUAAUACCGGAUACGUGCGAGAGCAGAAAGAUUUAUCGCCGAAAGAUCGGCCCGCGUCCGAUUAGCUAGUUGGUGAGGUAAUGGCUCACCAAGGCGACGAUCGGUAGCUGGUCUGAGAGGAUGAUCAGCCACACUGGGACUGAGACACGGCCCAGACUCCUACGGGAGGCAGCAGUGGGGAAUAUUGGACAAUGGGCGCAAGCCUGAUCCAGCCAUGCCGCGUGAGUGAUGACGGCCUUAGGGUUGUAAAGCUCUUUCGCCAGGGACGAUAAUGACGGUACCUGGAUAAGAAGCCCCGGCUAACUUCGUGCCAGCAGCCGCGGUAA